Long non-coding RNA from Neogale vison (American mink), 435 nucleotides. RefSeq lists it as uncharacterized. The record is from RefSeq and is a predicted model, not a curated record. Lineage: Eukaryota; Metazoa; Chordata; Mammalia; Carnivora; Mustelidae. The transcript is spliced from 2 exons.
UACUGUGCAAAUAUAAUUUCUGCCAAAAAAGAUCGUUCUGUGUGUGGACUUCGAAGCUGCAGAUUUAAGAGGAAGGAGAAGUUGGAGAAGAGCACAGGCCGCAUGCUGGCUAGAGGCCGCCCCGCGUGCUGACUGUCGGAGUUCUAGCACCUUGAGUCCGUAACUGUCCUUUGUCCUGGACUGUCUUCCAAAGAUAUGCAUAUAAAGAACAGCCUUGGAAGACAGGAGACGGUGUCAUGUCUGGUGCGAAGGACUGGGGUUCUGAGCUCCCUGUGCCCAGGCUUCCUGUGCUGCGACACUACCCACCCCCCGCCCGUGUGCAGCAUCCAUCUGACCCAUCGGAGCCACCUUAUGGGAAUGGGUGCUUUUGAGGCAUCUGCAGGGAGGCUGAUAAUGUGGCUCCUGCCUGAGAAUAAAAUAUCCUUUAUCUCUGAA